AUUGAUUCUUCCACUGCAUCGAGUGUGAUACAAUAUUUAUCUACUCGAGACAGUUAAAUUCUAAAUUUUAAAACACGUUUUAAAAAUUUGAAAUUUAACUGUCGAGAGUGGAUAUAUAUCGUAUUGCACGAGGUUUGGUGGUGGAAUCUGU
RNAcentral lists this small RNA (151 nucleotides) under Mytilus galloprovincialis (Mediterranean mussel). The record is from RNAcentral. Lineage: Eukaryota; Metazoa; Mollusca; Bivalvia; Mytilida; Mytilidae.